This is a long non-coding RNA of Pseudophryne corroboree (corroboree frog), 1231 nucleotides long. RefSeq lists it as uncharacterized. Lineage: Eukaryota; Metazoa; Chordata; Amphibia; Anura; Myobatrachidae. The record is from RefSeq and is a predicted model, not a curated record. The transcript is spliced from 3 exons.
AAAAGUACAUAUUUGUUUGUUUCAGCAUCAUGUGUAAAAACAUGCUUAAUAAUUUAAAACACACACAAACAUGUCCCAACAAUACUGACAUUCAUUUGGACAAUGUUUUUCCUACAAAACAAAGGAAACAUAUUACAAGCUUUUUACGCAACUCAAUUGUGUUCUUCUUGUAAUGUUGUAUAGAUAAGAUAGCUAAGAUAUGUAUCACUAACAUUGUAAUUUGGAUUGUCUGCAGGCAAAGAGAAUGAUUGGAAUCUAGAAAGAGUAUUGAUUAGAAAAAAAACAAGUGGUCAUUUUACUUCCUGCUAAAGACAUUCUGCCUGGCUGGCAAUUAUUGUAUCUGCAAGCAAAGAGAAUUAUUGGAAUCUAGAAAGAGUAAUGAUUAGAAAAAAAUCAAGUGGUCAUUUUACUUCCUGCUAAAGACAUUCUGCCUGGCUGGCAAUUAUUGUAUCUGCAGGCAAAGAGAAUGAUUGGAAUCUAGAAAGAGUAAUGCUUAGAAAAAAAUCAAGUGGUCAUUUUACUUCCUGCUAAAGACAUUCUGUCUGGCUGGCAAUUAUUGUAUCUGCAGGUAAAGAGAAUGAUUGGAAUCUAGGAAGAGUAAUGAUUAGAAAAAAAUCAAGUGGUCAGUUUACUUCCUGCUAACAUGUAUGUGUGGCUCCAUCAACAUUUCCCUCCUCCAAUAUCCAAAAAAGAAAGAAAAUGAAUAAAUGUGCGUACUAUUUUUUUUAUUUUUUUUGGGCCACUUAUAAUUAAUGAUGUUAAAAAAGGGUCAAGGAGCUAAGUGUUAUAUUUUGUAAAGCAUCAAAAACACUUGCUAACUAUUUUGAGUUACUUAUCACAAAUGUCUAACUUGUUUUUUUUCACGUUUUUUUUUUGCUGGCUGCUUGUCCUGCCCUUUGCCUUUAGCACUGUCAUGUUGGCGUGCUCUGGUGGACCAUCUUGGUGGUGAUGAGACUGGCGUGAUAUUUGGAGUAGUCGUACCAGAACUGCUGGUUGUUUGCUGUUGGUGCAUGCAUCUGAGUGUUUCAUUCAGCAUCUUAUACCCAAUGUCAUACUGUAUGGCUCAAGUGGACAUACAUAUCUUUACUGGAUGUGGACAAGGCCAUUUAGUUUGGAUUCCAUUUCAGCUUUUACUUACUGCGUUUGAUACUCACAAUCAAGAUGAGGGGAGUGUGGAUGACGUCUUGGAGGUGUGUCCAAAAUUUGGAGUGGGAGUACAGAACAUACGGAC